Non-coding RNA from Pelobates cultripes (western spadefoot toad), 330 nucleotides. The record is from the annotation of a GenBank genome assembly. NCBI's taxonomy places the organism in Eukaryota, Metazoa, Chordata, Amphibia, Anura, Pelobatidae.
UUUAGUUAGAUUUUUCUUUUCCUUCCUUUAUAAUACUGUGCAAUAUCUGGGAUUAUUAAUCUAGGAAGAUAGGCACAAGAGAAGCAAAGACAGGGGCACUGCUAUAGUGAGCAGCUUUUUUUUACUAGAUCAUAGAUCCUGAAAAUCCAAACUAGGUACUAGGAAUGUUCAUCCACAUUACAGCCUCUAAUACUUCAAACAGGUGCAACCACAGUGGGGCUCAGGAACUUGGCAUCUAUGCCAUUCAGAUAGCUCUUAUACAUAAUGCAACAGGCACUCCUGACUGUAUGUGAGCCAUGACUCUUUAAAUGGAUCAGGGUGCUGACCAUU